AGGUUGAGAGCAGGGGCCCCGGAACAUCACUGUAACAGGGAGAAGACUUGAGCAUCUGGCACCUUUACAGAUUGCAGCAUCCUGGAACGGAAUGAAAGGAUCUGUGCAGAGACGGCAAAAGUCGGGUUACAGUAGACCCUGAGCAAAACAGAGUGGACUCCAGCCUGCGUGGAUGAUCUUGAAACAGGAAUGGUUUGGGGUAAGUCACCCCACUGGGGUUGGCGUUUACCUGUUUUAAAUUCAUGUGGAGUAUUUAUUUGGUGUUCCGGGAUCGGUUAGUGAAUAAGAUGCAUAGCUAUUUUCCCCCCAUAGCUCAAGCAAUACGACUUCAGGGCAAGACACAUGUGGUUAGGAAAAAUGAAACAAAACCAACAAAUGAACCAACCAAAA
This 390-nucleotide long non-coding RNA is filed under the name Rattus norvegicus (Norway rat). Its description in RNAcentral is "long non-coding RNA NONRATT012368". Lineage: Eukaryota; Metazoa; Chordata; Mammalia; Rodentia; Muridae. The record is from RNAcentral.